CUUUUACAAUUUACAUAACUGAAAAUGAAAAAAUUAUAGGAUUAUACGUGUAAUAUCAAAAUACUCCUUCUGAGAUGGCGAAUGAAAGGACAGUAUCGACAAACUUUUUGUCGAUAAUCGAUGAACCUAUGAAUAUACCAGUUGCCG
Molecule: long non-coding RNA, 147 nt
Organism: Mytilus trossulus (common blue mussel)
Lineage: Eukaryota; Metazoa; Mollusca; Bivalvia; Mytilida; Mytilidae
Exons: 3
Source: RefSeq, a predicted model, not a curated record